This 361-nucleotide ribosomal RNA is filed under the name Fallicambarus dissitus. RNAcentral describes it as "partial 12S ribosomal RNA". Lineage: Eukaryota; Metazoa; Arthropoda; Malacostraca; Decapoda; Cambaridae. The record is from RNAcentral.
UAGUACACUUAAAUUUAAUUUAUAAAUAUUAGAAUAUUAAGAGUUAUAUUCUUUAAAUUUAAAAAAUUUGGCGGUGUUUUAGUCUAGUUAGAGGAACCUGUAUUAUAAACGACAUAACACGCAUUAUUUUACUUAUUUUGGUAAGCAGUUUGUAUACCGUCAUUAUUAGAUAAUUUAUGAGAAAAUAUUAUUGGGAUCAUAUUAUUGAGUAUAUUAGAUCAAGGUGCAGCUUAUAAAUAAGUAGAUAUGGGUUACAAUAAAAUUUAUUUAAUAUGGAUUUAAUAUUUAAAUAUGUUUAUGAAGGAGGAUUUAAUUGUAAGGAAAGGAGUAGUAAGAUUUUCUGAUAAAAGCUCUAAAUUAU